Molecule: long non-coding RNA, 1220 nt
Organism: Daktulosphaira vitifoliae (grape phylloxera)
Lineage: Eukaryota; Metazoa; Arthropoda; Insecta; Hemiptera; Phylloxeridae
Exons: 2
Source: RefSeq, a predicted model, not a curated record
AUAUAUAUAUAUAUUUGUUUUGAGCCGAAUGCGGACUGCGACGGCGUUUGUCAGUAAUAUUAUUAUGAUAAGGUAUUGUGAUUUGUUUAUGCGCGUGCGAGAUAGUCAGCUGUGUACUACUUCAGACCGGUUAAUGGACGGCAUUUGUGUGUACAUUCACCCCUCUCCUUUCCUAUCUUGAACGUCAUUUGCACUGCUCACCGCAUACAUUGUCGCCUUAUUUAAAUUGUUCUUAGUAAUUUCCGGCACUGGGUAUUAGGUUUUUUUUGACCCCUACUCCAAAGGCUAGCCGUGUUGUCGCCAACAGACCGCCGGGUCAAACGUCGGACGGGUUGUCGGGGAAUAGCCAUAGUCGGAACUGGUCGCACUAUUUCCCGUCCGUAGCGUAAGUUUUUUUCUUUUUGGUUGUGUGCGCUGCAACAUUUUAAUUUUAUAUAUAUUUUUUGUCGUGAGUGCCCGCUAUUCUUUAUAUCAUGUGAUUUUUUUUUAAUUGGCGUCGGUUGAGCCUGCCUCAUUUUCUGUAGCCCUUCGGGGCUGGUAAUGUAUAAGUUUUGUUUUAAUGUUUUGAGCCUGAUUAUUUUUUUUUUGUGCGCCGUGCCAUAAGCACGUGUUGCAAAUUUUUUUUAUAUAUUUUUUUUGUAGGUGUCCUUAUAUUUUUUUUAUUUAGGUCCCGCAACAUGACAGGCGUGUACAAGACCACCUGUCAUGUUAUAUCCAUAUUUUUUGUGAUUUUUUAUAUAGGUUUGAUACUAUUUUUUUUAUUGGGUGAUGAAUAUAUUAUUGGUACAAUGUGGUGACGUAGUGCAUUUUAUUCCGGGGUGUCCCAACGUCUUGCAAGCUAAGCCUAACUGCCAGAAACCAGUCGCUUACUUGGGACGUAUACCCGCCGUGCUUAGCGGCAAUGCUGCGAUUAAUAGCCGGCGGGUACCCGAAGACGUUCAUCGUAUUCUCUAAUAAUAAAAGUUGACUUUUAUCAACCAGACGAAAGCGACGAACAAGUACUUGUGUCUUUCAAGCUUAGGGUACGAGAUUCAAAUCAAACUAAGGAAAUUAAUAUUUUGCAUUUUUUUUGAGUUAGAAAAAAGUUUUCAAAUAAUUUGUUUUUUAUCUCAUUUAGAUUCAAUAACUUCAAUAAAUAUUAAGGAAAAAUAUUACUGUAGUCUUCUCUCGUGAGAAGAAAUUUCUUAUUCAUGUUAAUAUUAUUUUUCUAUGUGGGUUUA